RNAcentral lists this ribosomal RNA (502 nucleotides) under uncultured bacterium. Its description in RNAcentral is "partial 16S ribosomal RNA". It matches the Rfam family "Bacterial small subunit ribosomal RNA", at positions 28 to 523 of the family's 1533-position model. The record is from RNAcentral.
GAUGAACGCUGGCGGCGUGCCUAAUACAUGCAAGUCGAGCGGCAGCACGGGUGCUUGCACCUGGUGGCGAGUGGCGAACGGGUGAGUAAUAUAUCGGAACGUAUCCAAUAAUGGGGGAUAACUAGCCGAAAGGUUAGCUAAUACCGCAUACGCCCUGAGGGGGAAAGCUGGGGAUCGUAAGACCUAGCGUUGAUGGAGCGGCCGAAAUCUGAUUAGCUAGUUGGGGGGGUAAGGGCUUACCAGGGCGUGGAUCAGAAGCUGGUAUGAGAGGACGACCGGCCAGACUGGAACUGAGACACGGUCCAGACUCCUACGGGAGGCAGCAGUGGGGAAUUUUGGACAAUGGGGGCAACCCUGAUCCAGCCAUUCCGCGUGAGUGAAGAAGGCCUUCGGGUUGUAAAGCUCUUUCGCAAGGGAAGAAAACUCGAUCUCUAAUAUAGGUUGAGGCUGACGGUACCUUGAUAAGAAGCACCGGCUAACUACGUGCCAGCCGCCGCGGUAA